CGGACGGGUGAGUAAUGCCUAGGAAUCUGCCUGGUAGUGGGGGACAACGUCUCGAAAGGAACGCUAAUACCGCAUACGUCCUACGGGAGAAAGCAGGGGACCUUCGGGCCUUGCGCUAUCAGAUGAGCCUAGGUCGGAUUAGCUAGUUGGUGAGGUAAUGGCUCACCGAGGCGACGAUCCGUAACUGGUCUGAGAGGAUGAUCAGUCACACUGGAACUGAGACACGGUCCAGACUCCUACGGGAGGCAGCAGUC
This 254-nucleotide ribosomal RNA is filed under the name uncultured Pseudomonas sp. RNAcentral's name for it is "partial 16S ribosomal RNA". It matches the Rfam family "Bacterial small subunit ribosomal RNA", at positions 99 to 355 of the family's 1533-position model. Lineage: Bacteria; Pseudomonadati; Pseudomonadota; Gammaproteobacteria; Pseudomonadales; Pseudomonadaceae. The record is from RNAcentral.